UUCAAUUAAUCCAUUUAUUUUAAUUUUAUUGGUGAUAAUAUUGUGAUUAAAUAUUGCGAAUUACCUCCAAGACGACUUGAUUAGGACAUUUAGGUACAACAUAUAUUUAGAUGACCAAACGGCGCAAACCAAACCCAAGUGCCUGGAAAACAGGAGGAUAGAUACCUUUAACGUAGACUGGAAUAGCGCCACAUCAGGUUGCACCCUGUGAUAUAAGAUAGUUUUGGAGUGUCGGAUGUUUUGAAGCAGCUUAAACUGAGCGCAUUUGUUGCAUGCUUUGCAAUUACGCCGAUUAUUGGCCCUUUCUCUCCCGCCUGCGAUAAACAAGAAUCUGAUGUAGAUUAGGCCACGGACUGUGGACUAAGUUGGGCCUCCUGCGUGGACGACCUGCAGAUUGCUGAUAGCCAGGGAAGUUACAUUAUUGACAAAUUAAGGACCACAAUUAAUUUCAAGGACCUUCACGACUAACAAAGCAAUUUUUUCCAGGAUCGGACUUUAAUUAGGCCAGAUAUAGCUAUUUUACGUUCAAAUAAGCUACAAUUCUAAUUUAUGCUCGUUUUUUUAUCAUUUUAAGACAAAUAAUUAAGA
This 588-nucleotide small RNA is filed under the name Drosophila virilis. Its description in RNAcentral is "GJ26069". The record is from RNAcentral. Lineage: Eukaryota; Metazoa; Arthropoda; Insecta; Diptera; Drosophilidae.